GCUGCGGAGGUCAUGGAUCGUCUGGUGGAUGCCUUUCGGAGAGGCAUUAGGUGGAGAUCUAGCAAGAGAGGAAGGAGAAAAUAUCGAAGAAGAUGAUCAAAAACAAUCCCACUGAGUACUCCUUUAAGAACAAGGGUACUGCGAAGACACAGGCCCUUUCCUCUAGCACCAAUUCUGUUGGUGCAGAAUUUUAUCAAUGCCGGAGGAGCUGGAGUCGAGAUGACCGCGGCCGCCAUCGAAACCUGCAAAGAAAGUCUAAACCAGAGUUGGGGGUGCUCUGGCA
RNAcentral lists this long non-coding RNA (283 nucleotides) under Elaeis guineensis (African oil palm). Its description in RNAcentral is "long non-coding RNA (EGUI_LNC077958)". The record is from RNAcentral. Lineage: Eukaryota; Viridiplantae; Streptophyta; Magnoliopsida; Arecales; Arecaceae.